RNAcentral lists this ribosomal RNA (472 nucleotides) under uncultured Wolbachia sp. Its description in RNAcentral is "bacterial SSU rRNA". It matches the Rfam family "Bacterial small subunit ribosomal RNA", at positions 94 to 601 of the family's 1533-position model. The record is from RNAcentral. Lineage: Bacteria; Pseudomonadati; Pseudomonadota; Alphaproteobacteria; Rickettsiales; Anaplasmataceae.
AGUGGCAGACGGGUGAGUAAUGUAUAGGAAUCUACCUAGUAGUACGGAAUAAUUGUUGGAAACGGCAACUAAUACCGUAUACGCCCUACGGGGGAAAGAUUUAUCGCUAUUAGAUGAGCCUAUAUUAGAUUAGCUAGUUGGUAAGGUAAUGGCUUACCAAGGCAAUGAUCUAUAGCUGAUCUGAGGGGAUGAUCAGCCACACUGGAACUGAGAUACGGUCCAGACUCCUACGGGAGGCAGCAGUGGGGAAUAUUGGACAAUGGGCGAAAGCCUGAUCCAGCCAUGCCGCAUGAGUGAAGAAGGCCUUUGGGUUGUAAAGCUCUUUCGGUGAGGAAGAUAAUGACGGUACUCACAGAAGAAGUCCUGGCUAACUCCGUGCCAGCAGCCGCGGUAAUACGGAGAGGGCUAGCGUUAUUCGGAAUUAUUGGGCGUAAAGAGCGCGUANGCUGGUUAGUAAGUUAAAAGUGAAAUC